Molecule: long non-coding RNA, 1108 nt
Filed under: Linum usitatissimum (flax)
Lineage: Eukaryota; Viridiplantae; Streptophyta; Magnoliopsida; Malpighiales; Linaceae
Description: long non-coding RNA (LUSI_LNC007447)
Source: RNAcentral
GGCGUCCCCUGAACUCAUCUAACUAGACCUACCAUCACUUUGUCUAACUUAAGAUAACAAUAUGGCUCUUUAAUGAUCCAAUAUUAUCAUAUGGGUCUCUAAUAGCCCAACAGCUAAUAACGGGUCUUUGGUAGCCUGAAGUGCUAACAGUGGGUCUCUAGUGACCUGAAAUGCAGACAGUGGGUCUCUAGUGGUCCAAGGUUGUAUACCGACAAUCCGAAUCGGGGGUCUAGCUAGAGAGGCACGUGUUACUAGAUCAUCUAUUAAUCGUCUAGACUUAGAGUAUAUCUCUUCUUAUUCACUAGCUAUCUAGUCACAUCAUAUUCAAGUUUAAUCAUGUAGGCACAUAACAUGAGCAUCAUAAUAAAAUAAAUGACAUAAACAUAAAUGAACUUAACAUAACAUAAGCUAACUAUACUUAAUUGACGAGCCGACAUCUCAAAAUUAUAUCCGAAAUGAUUCCUCUUACUGCCACGAAACCAUAGCUUCUAACGGUGCGUCGUUUGGAGGUCAAACAGUUAAGUUAUACUCCAAAUACUCUUUUUGCAAUUUGAAGAAACACUCAGGGGCAGAACUGACAUUACUCGGCACAGCUUGGCAAAAUACAAAACCAGUCCUUUUGCUUCAGGUUAUUGGAAAACAAUUCCUGAACAACAACUAUUAGCAGAUCAGCCACCCAACUUCUACAAAGCACAAUCUAGUCCAUAUACCAAUAGAAUUUACAUGCGACCACUUAUCUUUUCCAAGAGUUGCGGGGAGAUCAUCAUCUUCUCCGGCGAAAAGCUCACCGCGGGCGACCAAUUUCCAAAAUCCGGCGAUCUCUCCAAAAAUCCUGAAAGCACGCCACUUGCCACCGAUCGCCUCCUCUUCCUUCCUCUGAGCCCACUGCCGAUUCAAGCCACCAAGCCGCCACCGAGUCUCCCCCAGUCAUCGAUUUCCAUCCUCCGCCGGUGCUUCCAUCCUUUGAAAUCACCUUGCGAAAAAGAGGGAAGAGGCGAGCAACUCCUUUCUUUGGAUUGAUCCGAGCUUCGCCGCUUUCAUCUCCCUUACCGAGAUACGACUCCAAGUUGCCGCCACCGCCACCAUGGAAGUGCUCCCUCUCGUCUCU